This 465-nucleotide ribosomal RNA is filed under the name uncultured bacterium. RNAcentral describes it as "partial 16S ribosomal RNA". It matches the Rfam family "Bacterial small subunit ribosomal RNA", at positions 28 to 507 of the family's 1533-position model. The record is from RNAcentral.
GACGAACGCUGGCGGCGUGCUUAACACAUGCCAGUCGAACGGAAAGGCCCCUUUGGGGGUACUCGAGUGGCGCACGGGUGAGUAACACGUGAGUAACCUGCCCUUGACUUCGGGAUAACUUCAGGAAACUGGGGCUAAUACCGGAUAGGAAUCCUUGCUGCAUGGUGGGGGUUGGAAAGCUUCGGCGGUUUUGGAUGGACUCGCGGCUUAUCAGCUUGUUGGUGGGGUAGUGGCUUACCAAGGCUUUGACGGGUAGCCGGCCUGAGAGGGCGACCGGCCACAUUGGGACUGAGAUACGGCCCAGACUCCUACGGGAGGCAGCAGUGGGGAAUAUUGCACAAUGGGCGGAAGCCUGAUGCAGCAACGCCGCGUGCGGGAUGACGGCCUUCGGGUUGUAAACCGCGUUCAGCAGGGGCGAAGCUUGUGGUGACGGUACCUGCAGAAGAAGCACCGGCUAACUACGUG